Molecule: non-coding RNA, 24 nt
Filed under: Arabidopsis thaliana (thale cress)
Lineage: Eukaryota; Viridiplantae; Streptophyta; Magnoliopsida; Brassicales; Brassicaceae
Source: RNAcentral
ACGCUGAUGAUUUGGGUUUGAUGU